Molecule: non-coding RNA, 382 nt
Organism: Bactrocera oleae (olive fruit fly)
Lineage: Eukaryota; Metazoa; Arthropoda; Insecta; Diptera; Tephritidae
Source: RefSeq, a predicted model, not a curated record
UGUACAAUACACCGCAUAAGCGGAUAUACCAUAUGUACAUAUGAAUUUAACUCAUUCAAGUUUGACUUCCACCUGUGAAGAGAAUUUCCAAACAGUUUGGGACAAUGCUGCCAUUUUUAGGCCGGAAAUAAAUCUGUAUCCGUUAAAAAAGCAUAUGCUUGCUACAAUCACAUUAAAUAGACCAGUUGCUGACAUAAAGCCGCAUCGAAUUUCUUAUUUUGUUUAUCCACAGACAAUUGAAAUGGUUUCGUAACAUACCCAAUUUUAAUAUUUGAACUUCACAGACAGUUGGAACGAUUAUUUUCUCAGAAGCCAUAUUUCAUAUAAUUUACAAUAAUAAUAAUAAAAAGUCAUCUGCAAAAGCAUUUGAUAUACAUAUAUA